Long non-coding RNA from Bombyx mori (domestic silkworm), 2214 nucleotides. RefSeq lists it as uncharacterized. The record is from RefSeq and is a predicted model, not a curated record. NCBI's taxonomy places the organism in Eukaryota, Metazoa, Arthropoda, Insecta, Lepidoptera, Bombycidae. The transcript is spliced from 2 exons.
UGACUAUAAAUAAUUAAAUAUGAAUAAAGCAUAAAUAUUGAUAAUAAUUUAUAUUAUAAUUAACAGUAAUAAUUAAGUAUUGUAAUUGUUAUGCAAUGAUGUUGUUGGCGCCAUUUAUUAUUAGACUGGAUAAUAAAAAUGUUAGUUAAUAUUACUUAUAAGUAAUUCCUGUAAAAUAAAUUAAAUGUCAGUCAUGUAAAAAUCACUAAAAUAUGUAUUGUGAAUAUUAAGCUAUAUUUUGUGAAUUGUUUCGCAGUAAUUACAUUUGUUUGUAUAAAAGAAGUUGUAGUUGCUAUAACCAUCAAUCACAAAAUGGCUAAUUGUGUAAAAACCACUGAAUAACUCAGGCGUGGCUUUUUGUUGUAAACAAGUUAAAGUUUUAUAGAAUUGUAUUGUACUUUCAUUGUAAAAGAACUUAUGUGUGAAAACCCUGGCUUAACGCCGACAUGUACCUUAUAUCCUUUGCUGAGCUUUUUAACCCUAAAAGAAAACUUUGAUAAAGGCGGUAUGAUUAGAUUUGUGGUAGUAGUACUAUUUUGCCAACUGGAAAUGCUAAGGUUUCACACUGUACAGCCCAACCUUUUAUAGUUUCUGUCAUAUGAAAAAUGAAAUAGAGCAAAAAUUGAUAUUGGAUGAAAUGAGGUUAAGUUGAUUGAAGUUGAGUUUAUUUGGGACUUUAAUCAAUUGAAAUUAUAUUAAAUAAAACGAGUUUAGAUAGGCGGAAAUUAAGUCUUAGAAAAUGAUGGUUAUUUAUUGAGACCUCAGUGGAACUUUUAUGCUGAAUAGUUAAUAAACCACCAUUAUUAUAUAGAAGUUUGGACCCGAAGAAACUCUAAACUAACAAAAUUUACAUAACUUCACUCUUCUUGUUCCCGCCAAAAAGUCGAUUUGAUUUAUCAUAAACGUGACAACGUUUUUAAUUUAACUUCUUUAAAAAUGUAUAAUGAAGUACCGUUUUGCUUCAAACCAUUUUGCCACGAAUAAUAAAUAGAAAUUUUAAAUUCAGUUUUUUUUUACAUUAUUCCGUUACUUCUUUUAGCUUGUAUUGUAGUGCUUAGAUUUCUUGAACGUUGUGAUAUUUUUAGACUUGAUAUUAUUUUAGAAAGGUAUAUUAUUUUUUUCCAUUUCAAUCCAUGUAAUUUGCAUCCAUAUUUUUCAAGAGCACAUAAGUGUAUUUUAUUUUUUAUUAGAAUAAUCGUGACGGCUCAAAACAUAUGUAAGUUGACAUAAAUGAACUUGGAUUUAAAAUUAUUCACGUCUAAGUUCUCAAAGCAGACCUGAAUCAUGUAAUUAUCGUGGCCUUUGUGCACGUGGUAACUAUAGGUAAGUAAGUAUGCUUUACGCAACUCACAAUCGAAACACGAUGAUUCAUAUUCAUCACGUUUGGUCAUUGUGUUUGUUUUGUACAACGUUUUCCACUAAGUUUUCAAUUAUCGAAUAUCACAAGAGUCAUAGCUGCGUACAGCUUAUUCGGUUUCAACUGCGUUAUUUGCGUAAUGAAAUUGUCUAAUCUGCGGUUUGAUGCACUAUACGACUUUAAUAAGACGGUGAAAGUUUGAUUAUUCAGCAACAUCUUUAUCUGUGUCAGCUUGAGACGUUUACAAAUCUUUGAACUAUUUGUCGUAAGGUAGUUUUUUAGAAAGUAGCUGUAGAAUUGUUGAACUGAAUGAUAAAUACAGAUGAAAAUUUGAUGAAGAUUGGAUUGAGCAAUGUAAUAUCUUUUUUUAGUUGUUUAGUUUUAGUUCCAAUUUUAGUGUUAUAUAGUUGACGAUUAAAUUAGAAUUAUGUUUUGAAGUCAGCUUAGGCAAUGAGCUGCUGCAACGACAUAGCUGACUGAAGUUUUAUUUAAAAAUUUGUGACUUAAUUCGUUUUAAUGCAGACAGGAUUUAAAAUAAAAAUAAAAUAUUGUAACAGAAACAUAUUUAUAAUUAAAGAUACUUGAGGAGUUAGGUUUGACGAAAUGUAAGUAUGAACAUGCAUAGAAAUUUUAAUUUGAGGUUGUUAAACAUGAAUUUUAUAUUUAUAUGUGUUGUAUGAUUAUAUAUUUUUCACCCCUGUCUCUAGGUACAUCCCUGUGCUACUUGCUACAUAUUAAUUAGUGGAUGCCGUGGAAAACCGGAUCACACAGACCCUACAUCGGACUAGUUAAAUUUAAUUAAUGUCAAUGUUUAUUUUAUUAAUAUAAUGUAUAAAAAGAAUAAAUAAUUUAACAGA